GUAGUCAUACGCUCGUCUCAAAGAUUAAGCCAUGCAUGUGUAAGUAUAAAUAGUUAACUUUGAAACUGCGAAUGGCUCAUUAUAUCAGUUAUAGUUUAUUUGAUGAAGAAUACUAAUUGGAUAACCGUAGUAAUUCUAGAGCUAAUACAUGUAUAAAGUCUUGUAGACUGCAUUUAUUAGAAUGAAAACCAUAGGUUUCGGCCUAUUCGUGAGUAAUAAUAACUAAUCAUAUCGUAUGCUUAUGUAACGA
RNAcentral lists this ribosomal RNA (250 nucleotides) under uncultured Blastocystis sp. RNAcentral's name for it is "partial small subunit ribosomal RNA". It matches the Rfam family "Eukaryotic small subunit ribosomal RNA", at positions 20 to 287 of the family's 1831-position model. The record is from RNAcentral. Lineage: Eukaryota; Bigyra; Opalinata; Blastocystidae.